RNAcentral lists this long non-coding RNA (408 nucleotides) under Junco hyemalis (dark-eyed junco). Its description in RNAcentral is "lncRNA (ENSJHYG00000016580.1)". The record is from RNAcentral. Lineage: Eukaryota; Metazoa; Chordata; Aves; Passeriformes; Passerellidae.
GUUUAAUAGAAAUUGUUUUGCAUCUAAAUCUCUCUGCUGGUAGCUGGCUAUAUGCACAGAGUUUUCCUUGUUAUUGUUGUAUGUUUUACAUCUACAGAAAUGUCUUUCAACCUGAAAAACCCUGCUGUGGUUAUGAAUACUGGGAUUCAUUGCGGGCAUGAAUUGUCUCUUCAGAAUACAGCGGGAGACUUCCAUAAUGGUAUUCAGGAUCCUAGGUGCUGGAAAUCAAAUUUCAGAACAUUAACUUGCUUAGUAGUUGUUUUGUGAUAGUGGACCAAUAUUUAUUUAUUGACUGGGGCUGGAAUUAGAGGUAAGAUUUCCAUUUCUUAACCUGAUGUGGAACAUCUUGAAAAGACAGAAGAAAAAUAUCCCUCCUGUCAUAACAGGAAAAUAGAGUUGAAGUUGUAC